Symphalangus syndactylus (siamang) is the source of this 1041-nucleotide long non-coding RNA. RefSeq lists it as uncharacterized. The record is from RefSeq and is a predicted model, not a curated record. NCBI's taxonomy places the organism in Eukaryota, Metazoa, Chordata, Mammalia, Primates, Hylobatidae.
GAAAAUACUACUCUCUUCUAUGCUGUGGCAAAAUAGUACAACCACAAGGCCAGGAUCCAUAGAAUGUGAGCAGCUGUUUCAGUGGUUUUCUGUUACUAUUUGUGAAGUCUUCAUUCUUGUCAUCUCUAGCAGAAGAGUGGUGCCAGUUGCCAGAGGUUUGAGGAAAAAGAAGUCAUGGGAGAAUUUACAUUUGAGAAAAUUCCAUUCAUUGACUUAAUUAUUUCUGGGAAUUCAGAAAAGACCACCAUGAUCCUUUAGCCGUGAAAACACUUGGGCCAGUUUUGGAAAUGCUAGAAUCCUGCAGGAGAAGCUUUUGAGAAAUUCAGCACUGUGCAGUGUUGUAGCCUGAAUACUUUACUGUUUACCUUUUUGAGAGUUAAAUCUGUGUGGAGGAGGAAGGGAGGAGAGACUAGAAGCAGAGAGGCCCAUGGGAGGCUCUGGUUCAGGCAAAAGAGGAUGGAUCCUUUGGAGAGCUGCUCACUGCAGCCUCGACCUCCACCUGGGCUCAAGUGAUCUUCCUGCCUCAGCCUUCUGACAAGGGUUCCGGGAUGGCCAAGGAGGCCCAUCUCACCAGACCUGGCCCUGAGAAACUUCACCAGCAAGGCUUUCAAAUCUGGUGCAUAUUGCUAUGACAUGAGUUCCCUUCCAGCAGGGCCUGCAGCUGCUCUGUCCUCCUGGAUGGAGAAUCUGACUCCAACUCAGCUUCCCAAACCACACACAAUUCGAAGAUGAGACUGGUCUUCCUCUGGGGGACCAGGGAGAAAUGUGGUAAUUUAGACUCUCAAAGACUCUUCCUAAAAAGCUGGGCUGUUAAGGAAUCCACUCCAAGCGAUCACCAUCUGUGGCAGGCAGCUGGUGGAAUAGACAGAACUGUUUUGACAUCAGAUGAACUAGAAUUUGAAUACUGGUUUAGUCCUGUCUAGCUGUAGGGAUUUGAAGGGAAAUACAGUUUUUCUUUCAGAAAACCAGGACAAUAAUAUUAUACUAGAUUUGCGAGGUUAAAGAUAUAGAAAGUAUAGACAGCUAGGAGGUGUUGGGAGA